RNAcentral lists this ribosomal RNA (253 nucleotides) under uncultured bacterium. RNAcentral describes it as "partial 16S ribosomal RNA". It matches the Rfam family "Bacterial small subunit ribosomal RNA", at positions 524 to 776 of the family's 1533-position model. The record is from RNAcentral.
UACGUAGGGGGCUAGCGCUGUCCGGAUUUAUUGGGCGUAAAGAGCGUGUAGGCGGCCAGGUAGGUCUGCUGUGAAAACUCGAGGCUCAACCUCGAGACGUCGGCGGAAACCAUCUGGCUAGAGUCCGGAAGAGGAGAGUGGAAUUCCUGGUGUAGCGGUGAAAUGCGCAGAUAUCAGGAGGAACACCGAUGGCGAAGGCAGGUCUCUGGGCCACUACUGACGCUGAGAAGCGAAAGCAUGGGGAGCGAACAGG